This 452-nucleotide ribosomal RNA is filed under the name Bigelowiella natans. RNAcentral's name for it is "partial Eukaryotic small subunit ribosomal RNA". It matches the Rfam family "Eukaryotic small subunit ribosomal RNA", at positions 1 to 398 of the family's 1831-position model. The record is from RNAcentral. Lineage: Eukaryota; Cercozoa; Chlorarachniophyceae.
AGCUGGUGGAUCCUGCCAGUAGUUAUAUGCUCGUCUUCAAGAUUAAGCCAUGCAUGUCUAAGUGUAAACCACUGGUGAACUGCGAAUGGCUCAUUAUACCAGUUAUAAUUUAUUUGGUGGUAUGGACUACUCGGAUACCCGUAGUAACUCUGUGGCUAAUACGUGCGAAUUUCCCCAACUCAUCCGUCAAGGAGAUUAGGAGGGGCGUAUUUAUUAGUUAUAAACGCUAGCCUCGACACUCAGCCUUAAGUUAUAGCCUGAGUGUAGAGAUCGUGUUGAAUCAUAAUAACUGUCGAAUCGUAUGGCCGUUUAGCUACUAGUAUAGCUGAACAACGCUAACGAUGCUCCAAUCAAAUUUCUGCCCCAUCAUCUUGCACGUUGGUAGGGUAGUGGCCUACCAAAGAAAUGACGGGUAACGGGGAAUUGGCGUUCGAUUCCGGAGAGGGAGCCUG